UACAGGGGGGGCAAGCGUUGUUCGGAAUUACUGGGCGUAAAGGGCUCGUAGGUGGCCAACUAAGUCAGACGUGAAAUCCCUCAGCUUAACUGGGGAACUGCGUCUGAUACUGGAUGGCUUGAGUUUGGGAGGGGGAUGCGGAAUUCCAGGUGUAGCGGUGAAAUGCGUAGAUAUUGGGAGGAACACCAGUGGCGAAGGCGGCUCACUGGACCGGAACUGACGCUGAGGCGCGAAAGCGUGGGGAGCAAACAGG
This 253-nucleotide ribosomal RNA is filed under the name uncultured bacterium. RNAcentral describes it as "partial 16S ribosomal RNA". It matches the Rfam family "Bacterial small subunit ribosomal RNA", at positions 524 to 776 of the family's 1533-position model. The record is from RNAcentral.